Molecule: ribosomal RNA, 494 nt
Filed under: uncultured bacterium
Lineage: Bacteria
Description: bacterial SSU rRNA
Rfam family: Bacterial small subunit ribosomal RNA
Source: RNAcentral
ACUCAAAUGAAUUGACGGGGACCCGCACAAGCGGUGGAUGAUGUGGUUUAAUUCGAUGCAACGCGAAAAACCUUACCCACCUUUGACAUGGCAGGAAGAUUUCAGAGAUGAGAUCGUGCUCGCAAGAGAACCUGCACACAGGUGCUGCAUGGCUGUCGUCAGCUCGUGUCGUGAGAUGUUGGGUUAAGUCCCGCAACGAGCGCAACCCUUGUCAUUAGUUGCUACGAAAGGGCACUCUAAUGAGACUGCCGGUGAUAAACCGGAGGAAGGUGGGGAUGACGUCAAGUCCUCAUGGCCCUUAUAGGUGGGGCCACACACGUCAUACAAUGGCUGGUACAAAGGGUUGCCAACCCGCGAGGGGGAGCCAAUCCCAUAAAGCCAGUCGUAGUCCGGAUUGUAGUCUGCAACUCGACUGCAUGAAGUCGGAAUCGCUAGUAAUCGUGGAUCAGCAUGUCACGGUGAAUACGUUCCCGGGUCUUGUACACACCGCCCGU